Molecule: ribosomal RNA, 378 nt
Filed under: uncultured bacterium
Lineage: Bacteria
Also listed under: 1 other name
Description: bacterial SSU rRNA
Rfam family: Bacterial small subunit ribosomal RNA
Source: RNAcentral
UGAUACGUAGGGUGCGAGCGUUGUCCGGAUUUAUUGGGCGUAAAGGGCUCGUAGGUGGUUGAUCGCGUCGGAAGUGUAAUCUUGGGGCUUAACCCUGAGCGUGCUUUCGAUACGGGUUGACUUGAGGAAGGUAGGGGAGAAUGGAAUUCCUGGUGGAGCGGUGGAAUGCGCAGAUAUCAGGAGGAACACCAGUGGCGAAGGCGGUUCUCUGGGCCUUUCCUGACGCUGAGGAGCGAAAGCGUGGGGAGCGAACAGGCUUAGAUACCCUGGUAGUCCACGCUGUAAACGGUGGGUACUAGGUGUGGGGUCCAUUCCACGGGUUCCGUGCCGUAGCUAACGCUUUAAGUACCCCGCCUGGGGAGUACGGCCGCAAGGCUA